CUGCAUGGCUGUCGUCAGCUCGUGUCGUGAGAUGUUGGGUUAAGUCCCGCAACGAGCGCAACCCUUGCCAGUAGUUGCUACGAAAGGGCACUCUAAUGGGACUGCCGGUGACAAACCGGAGGAAGGUGGGGAUGACGUCAAGUCCUCAUGGCCCUUAUAGGUGGGGCUACACACGUCAUACAAUGGCUGGUACAGAGGGUUGCCAACCCGCGAGGGGGAGCUAAUCUCAUAAAACCAGUCGUAGUCCGGAUCGCAGUCUGCAACUCGACUGCGUGAAGUCGGAAUCGCUAGUAAUCGCGGAUCAGCUUGCCGCGGUGAAUACGUUCCCGGGUCUUGUACACACCGCCCGUCACACCAUGGGAGCGGGUUCUGCCAGAAGUAGUUAGCCUAACCGCAAGG
Molecule: ribosomal RNA, 399 nt
Filed under: uncultured beta proteobacterium
Lineage: Bacteria; Pseudomonadati; Pseudomonadota; Betaproteobacteria
Description: bacterial SSU rRNA
Rfam family: Bacterial small subunit ribosomal RNA
Source: RNAcentral